Molecule: ribosomal RNA, 484 nt
Filed under: uncultured bacterium
Lineage: Bacteria
Description: partial 16S ribosomal RNA
Rfam family: Bacterial small subunit ribosomal RNA
Source: RNAcentral
AUUGAACGCUGGCGGCAGGCCUAACACAUGCAAGUCGAGCGGAUGAAGGGAGCUUGCUCCUGGAUUCAGCGGCGGACGGGUGAGUAAUGCCUAGGAAUCUGCCUGGUAGUGGGGGAUAACGUCCGGAAACGGGCGCUAAUACCGCAUACGUCCUGAGGGAGAAAGUGGGGGAUCUUCGGACCUCACGCUAUCAGAUGAGCCUAGGUCGGAUUAGCUAGUUGGUGGGGUAAAGGCCUACCAAGGCGACGAUCCGUAACUGGUCUGAGAGGAUGACCAGUCACAAUGGAACUAAGACACAGUCCGGACGCAAACGGGAGCCAGCGGUGGGGAGUAUGGGACAAGGGUCGAAAGCUUGAUCAAGCCUUGCCGCGGGGGUGAAGAAGGUUUUGGGAUUAUAAAGCUCUUUAGGUUGGGAGAAAGGAAAGUAAUUUAAUACCUUCCUUUUUGGACGUCCCCAACAGAGAAGGACCGGGCAAACUUCGUC